UUUGCAACCACAUUUAGCACUGCGCCCCUUUUUGCAGUGGCAAAAAAUUGUGUUCAGCAGUUCUUCCGGCGCAGUUGGAAGUUAAGUUGGACUGGUUCUAAUGAAUUGUUUACCAACUUCCAACCCCAGUCUGUAGGGUAUAGCUGAUAACCAAGCCACACUUGAACUUGGUAAUAUACUUGAGAAAGAUGUUGAUGAGCAGCAACUGAGUUUCAGAUUCCUCUCAAAUAACCACACAUCAUUAGCAAGUUGCCAUAUCAUUUGAAGACUAAUGAAAUUGAAGACUCGACUUCAUUAGUAACGUUAGUCAGUCGACUGAGAAAGGGGUUGCUCCAUCCCAUUUUGCCAUUUGUGUAAGUGAGAAUGACCAAAUAAUUGUUAAAUCUUCAAUAUCAUCUUCGUUCACUACGGUGCCAAUCAUAUAUUACUUUCUUAUUUUUCUUUGGCUCAUAGAAGCCUUUUCGAAACCUCUCUAAUUCAAAUUCAAAUUCUUUAUGUUCUUCAAGAUCAAUAUAUGAUAUUGGAAAUGUAUAUACGACACAUACAAAAAAAUGUGAUCAAACAAAAUAUAACACAAGUUUUCGUAUGAUUGUUUAAACAUAUAUUUUAAUAACAAAUUGAAUGUUAGUGGUUAAGGUACUCACUAUAAAAACAGAUUGUGAUAAAAAAUGUUUUAAAAGUGAUUUAGAUGUAGAUUGCAUGUUCUAAUUUUUAUUUCUAUUGGAAGAUAAUUAAAAAGUUUGUGUACCUCUGAUUUAUAUUUGAUGUAUAAUAAUAUCGAUGAUUUUUGAAAUGUUUUCAUACUAAUGUAUCUGAAAUUGCCAUGCGAUAAAUAAAUAAUUCAGAGUGGAGAAA
Long non-coding RNA from Leptinotarsa decemlineata (Colorado potato beetle), 855 nucleotides. The record is from RefSeq and is a predicted model, not a curated record. Lineage: Eukaryota; Metazoa; Arthropoda; Insecta; Coleoptera; Chrysomelidae.